Molecule: ribosomal RNA, 446 nt
Filed under: uncultured bacterium
Lineage: Bacteria
Description: partial 16S ribosomal RNA
Rfam family: Bacterial small subunit ribosomal RNA
Source: RNAcentral
CCUACGGGUGGCAGCAGUCGAGAAUCAUGCACAAUGGGGGAAACCCUGAUGGAGCGACGCCGCGUGGGGGAAUGAAGGUCUGCGGAUUGUAAACCCCUGUCAUGUGGGAGCAAAUUAAAAAGAUAGUACCACAAGAGGAAGAGACGGCUAACUCGGUUCCAGCAGCCGCGGUAAUACAGAGGUCUCAAGCUUUGUUCGGAAUCACUGGUCGUAAAGCGUGCGUAGGCGGUUUCGUAAGUCGUGGGUGAAAGGCGCGGGCUCAACCCGCGGACGGCACUGGAUACUGGGAGACUAGAGUAAUGGAGGGGGAACCGGAAUUCUCGGUGUAGCGGUGAAAUGCGUAGAUAUCGAGAGGAACACUCGUGGCGAAGGCGGGUUCCUGGACAUUAACUGACGCUGAGGCACGAAGGCCAGGGGAGCGAAAGGGAUUAGAUACCCCUGUAGUC